RNAcentral lists this ribosomal RNA (380 nucleotides) under uncultured eukaryote. RNAcentral describes it as "partial 18S ribosomal RNA". It matches the Rfam family "Eukaryotic small subunit ribosomal RNA", at positions 592 to 976 of the family's 1831-position model. The record is from RNAcentral.
CAAUAGCGUAUACUAAAGUUGUUGCAGUUAAAAAGCUCGUAGUUGGACGUUUGAGGUCUGCCAUGGGUCUGCCUGCGGGUAUGAACCGAUGUGCGGGACUCUUCUGCCUGGAGAACGUAUUGGCCGUUAACUCGGUUCGGUGCGGGACCCUGGCCGUUUACUUUGAAAAAAUUAGAGUGUUCAAAGCAGGCGACUGCCCUGAAUAGCUCAGCAUGGAAUAAUAAGAUAGGACUGCGGUUUUAUUUUGUUGGUUUCUAAAGCCGAAGUAAUGAUUAAUAGGGACAGCUGGGGGCAUUUCUACUCCAUUGUCAGAGGUGAAAUUCUUGGAUUUAUGGAAGAGAAACUAGUGCGAAAGCAUUUGUCAAGAAUGUUUUCAUUAA